RNAcentral lists this small RNA (59 nucleotides) under Arabidopsis thaliana (thale cress). RNAcentral describes it as "ATSL050650". The record is from RNAcentral. Lineage: Eukaryota; Viridiplantae; Streptophyta; Magnoliopsida; Brassicales; Brassicaceae.
UCUAUAAUGUUACUAUAUACUAGAAUUCAAUCAUGAGAAUGCAAAUCCUUAGCUAUAAU